UUAAAUUCCACUCAUUUGCACCAUAAAUGAAAUUUUUAUGUGAGAAUGGGGAAAAAGCCUAAUUCUCAUUCCAGCGGCAAUAAUAUCUGCAAAAUCUAUAAAUUUAACACCAUGAAGUGUGCAGCUGCCUUAACAAAAGAAAUGUGUGUGUAUAUAUCAGCGUAGUUGAGAAAUAUAGAUUGAAAAGCAUCUAAAACUCUCAAUUCUCAAGUAUUUUAAUUUACACAAAUUCUGGUCAUGUAGGGACUAUUUCCAGAUCUCAUCAAAUUCUGAGAAGCCAAAAUAACUCCUGCUUUUAUCCAUGGUAAGGUAAUGUAGGUGGAACUGGUCCAUAGCCUUUGUUUUGGUUUAGAUUUUUUUUUUCCUCAGGAUAGCAAGACUUUGUACCAAUUAGCUCAUGAACCCAAACUAAAAAUGUACAUUUUUUUGUCCCUUGAAAGAUGUCAUUACAUCACUAAAUUCUCUGACAUCUCUACAUGUCUUGACAACUCUCUGAAAGAGAUCUGAAGAAUAAGACAUUCUUGAAACAUACAAAGUUUUUCUUGACAGUAUGUCAGAAUGGAAUUCAGCUUCAUUUUAAAUGAAAUUUAAGAUUAAGUAGAUUAUUUUCACCUGCUCUCAUAUAGUCUAAAAGGAGGCAUUAUCUGUGGAAGAAUUCUGUCUAUAUCCCUGAGCUUACUCAGGGUCAUAUACACGUCAGGCCAUGGGAGUUGCAUUCAGAUGCCCUGCAUUAUUUCUUCUCUAACAAUCUGAAAACAGAAGUAGUGCAAAUGACUAACAGAGCAGAGAUCUAAAUUCAGGGAAAUAAAGUUACAGGAGAUCAAUCUGACCCUCCAUAUCCAUUUUCACUCAAUAGCCAUAAGGAGCAACACUCAUAAAUUCUGCCUUACAGGAAUAUGGGCAAUUACUCUGUUUAGCAUUCCUACUGUAUCUUGUCUCAAAAUAAAAGUUAUUCUUGGUCUAUCUAAUUGAUUUAGACUCAACUCUGUAUACAAACAAAUCAUUCAUUUUUCUCAUUCGGAAUUAUAUUUAUCGUUUGUCACUGAAAGAUCUUUUCCAAUGUCCAUACUGUGAUUCCUUGUAUUCAUUACAUUUCUCUUCAGGAAAAAAACCCCAAAUAGAAUAGACUAUUUUGGUUGUAAAGGACCUAAAACAAUCAUCCAGUCCAACUGCCUGGGCACUUCAGGAAUGACCAAAAGUUAAAGUGUGUCCUUGAGGGUAUGAUCCAAAUUCCUCCUGAAUAUUGACAGGCUUGUGGCAUUGUCCACCUCUCUAGCAAGCCUUCUGGUGCCCUCUCAGUAAAGAAAAGCUGCCUAAUGUCCAGUCUAAACCUUCCCUGGUAUGGUUUACAACCAGUCCCAUAUGUCCAGUCCCUGGAUGCCAGGGAGAGGAGCUCAGCUCCUCCCUCUGCACCUGCUGUCCUCGGGAAGUUUUAGAGAGCAAUGAGAUCGUCCCUCAGCCUCCAUUUCUCCAGACUGGACAAGCCCAGAGCCCUCAGCUGCUCCUUACAUUCCUUCCACACCUUUCACGUGCUUUGUUACCCUCCUCUGGAUGCAUUCAAGGACCCUCACGUUUUUGUCCCAGCCCUACCCACGGUGCCUAAGGGGAGACUGCACCAACCCUGAAGAAGCCAAAAAUGUAUGAAUAUUGCUGUGGACAGCUUCCAUGUGAACUGGAGUUCUGUAUCCUUCCCUUGAUGGGCUGCCUAGCAGCAAAUCUGCUCACUCACAGCUGCAUUGUCAAUGCACAAGGAUGACCCAUCACAGUUCCCCUGUCCCUUUGCUGGCAUUCUCCCUUCAGGUAAGAAACAAACCAGAAGCUAUAAACUGCUUGUUAAAUUAUGAAAAAGUGUUGUUAAAUGCAUAAAAACACAUGUAAUUAAAUAAAUUAUAGCUUGUAAUCAAUCUGUCUGAGAGCAAAAUGGCAAAUCAGGGAUUGAAGAUUAUUUGGAACCACUCACAGAACAAUUACUCUGCACUAGUAGCACUGAACAAAGGAAAUUAUUGAGAUGUUUCCUGUAAGAAUUCUCAGCCACUGCAUUGCAGGAACAACUUGGAGUAUCACUAACAUAUAACAGCCUCUAAUGCUUCCCCAAAUGAAAUCUUGUAAAAGGCUACUAUCAUUAAUCAUCAGUUGUAAUGUGCUAUCAAGCAAUUUAACCUACAGAAUCAGCCCACUGUAGCAACCACAGUAUAGUUCAAUCUCUGUAACAAUGCAUAUUCAAUUAUCUAGCUCAUCUUCUUCUCUCUUCAUUGUAAUUGAUAGUCACAAACUGCUUAACUGAAGCUCUCCAUAAAAAAAAAAAAAAAAAAAAAAAAAAAAAGAAAAAAAAAAAAAAAGAAAAA
Non-coding RNA from Taeniopygia guttata (zebra finch), 2345 nucleotides. The record is from RefSeq and is a predicted model, not a curated record. Lineage: Eukaryota; Metazoa; Chordata; Aves; Passeriformes; Estrildidae.